CCCCUGCCCCUGCCCCUGCCCCUGCACCAGCCCCUGCCCCAAGUGGACGCUAAACAGGUGAAAAGUACAACUUAAACCGUUUUUGGGGGUAUCUGUACUUUACUUUACUAUUUAUAUAUUUCUGACAACUUUUACUUUUGCUUCACAAAAUUCCUGAAGAAAAUAAUGUACUUUUUACCCCAUACAUUGUCCUUGACUUCCAAAAAUUACCUUUUGAAUGCUUAGCAGGACAGGAAAAUUGACAAAUUCCUGCGCUCAUCAAGAGAACAUCCCUGGUCAUCCCUACUGCCUCUGAUCUGGUGGACUCACAAAACACAAAAGCUUAGUUUAUAUAGAUGUCUGAGUGUUGGAGUGUACCCCCGCCUAUCCGUAAAUAAAGUAAACAAGAAAAUGGUGGCGUCUGGUUUGUUUAAUAUAAGGUUUUUGUAAUGAUUUAUACUUUUACUGUUGAUACUUAAGUAUAUUUGAGCAAUUACAUAUACUUUUGAUACUUACUUACAGUGGGGGAAAAAAGUAUUUAGUCAGCCACCAAUUGUGCAAGUUCUCCCACUUAAAAAUAUGAGAGAGGCCUGUAAUUUUCAUCAUAGGUACACUUCAACUAUGCCAGAAAAAAUGAGGAAAACAAAUCCAGAAAAUCAUAUUGUAGGAUUUUUAAUUAAUUUCUUUGCAAAUUAUGGUGGAAAAUAAGUAUUUUUUUAUUCUAAGUAUAUGUAUAUCCUAUAAAUUCAUUAAUUCGCUUUUCUGUCUAUCAGGUAUUUCAUGGAAUUUCAUGGAACUCACAGACUAUGAAGUGUGAUUCCUUUAUGCAUUUCUGUUUAAUAAACACAUUAAUAUUUUAAGCUCAAUUGUAUGUCUAUCCAGUCCUCUGAUGAAUGCUCAUUAAGUUUAUGAAAAUUGCAAGAAAUCUAUACAAAGUGUGGUACAUUACAUUACGUUAUUUAAUUAAAGAAAAAUUGUACAUUAUAUUGCAUGACAGGAGAAAUCAAAAUAAAGUCUGGUACUUGAGCUAUAUUGUAUAAAUUGAGAAAUUAAAGUUAAACAUUACAAUGAAAUGUUUUCAUUUAGCCUCCUCAAUGCCCCAAAACAGGUAGAUGAAUCAUCGACAGUUUCAAAACCUUUUAAUUUAGCUAAAGUUUCCUAACACUGAUGAGACAUUGUUCUUUGUGGGCACUGUGGAUAUACAGAUUUGUAGGAUUACCCACCAAAUGCCUAAUUUCAUCACAUUUUACAUCUCCAGGACACAGGACACACCAUUGAUCAUGGGACUUAAGCUCAUUGGUGCACUGAAGGCUCAUUGGUGCACUGAAGGCACAUUGGUGCACUGGAAGCUAAUUGACUGUGGAAUGAAAUGAAAUAAAAAAUAUAUUUUUGCAGUUAAGUUACAAUACGGCAACAGUGUUAAAAGUUUAGUAGCAACAUUUCAAGCAUUUUACAUCUUCAUUUGAACAGAAUUCCAUGGUGACCAUGAAACUACUAUUCCCAGUGAUGUGCCUAAUUGGACUUGGUUCCUCCAUUCCUGUGUCUGAGAAACAUGAUCGAGAGGAGCGCUCAGCUAGCGAUGUGGUGCAGUAAUAUUUAGCACUAUCUAUUG
This is a long non-coding RNA of Oncorhynchus masou masou (cherry salmon), 1591 nucleotides long. RefSeq lists it as uncharacterized. The transcript is spliced from 3 exons. The record is from RefSeq and is a predicted model, not a curated record. NCBI's taxonomy places the organism in Eukaryota, Metazoa, Chordata, Actinopteri, Salmoniformes, Salmonidae.